This 68-nucleotide transfer RNA is filed under the name Anolis parilis (Ecuador anole). RNAcentral's name for it is "tRNA-Trp". Lineage: Eukaryota; Metazoa; Chordata; Lepidosauria; Squamata; Anolidae. The record is from RNAcentral.
AAACUUAGGAUAAAUAUAAACCAAGAACCUUCAAAGUUCAAAAUAUGGACUAAUCCCCAUAGUUUUUG